UAAUUCAAAGCCAUCAGGAAGCACAAGAAAACCGAAUUUCAAUUCAAUACGUAUGAUUGCUCGUAUAGCGGAAGCUAGGAAGGCCACAAACGUGCUUAAGUACUGCACAAAAUUAUCUUCGUAUAAGAACAGUUUUAUUAACGAUGCUCGAAGAGACCUAAGGAAAAGCCAUGCUGCAUAUUUUGCCAAGGGGACCAUGCAAGCAGUUUCCGUGGUUGCGCGGAAUACAAGAAGAAGUUUGAAGAAAGAGGACUGCCUAGGACUCAGAGGAAACCACCCCCAGAUGUCACACAAGAAAAUUUUUCUGAGCUAGUAACGGCAGACCCUCGGCCGAGCAGAGCUGCGAGCAAAGCCAGCUUCAGUGAAAAGUUGAGAAAUAAGCCUACAACGUCGCCAAACAUCCUGGAAGGACUCCUAUCCUGGUUUGUCAAUCCUAUUCAAGAACUGUUUAAAGUCUUCUCCGAAAUUUUUAGCUUCCUUCCAAAUAUCAACCUAGCUGAGAUGAUUUGCUCAAAACCGUACAGAAAAUUAUGCAGAUGACCACCUAUAGACAUGGUGACUAAGCACAUGAUACCAGCGUGGAUGAUGGAUCACCUAAGAUAUCUCAAAUUUUCAAAACUUGACGGUUCUUACAAUUUCGAUUUCAAAUCAUUUUUCUCGUGAUACGAGCAGUCACUAGGUCCAGUUAUUCGCCUGAGUGACGAGUUUAAACUUGAGAUAGAAGCUAACGUCGGCGACAUCACAGCAGUUGGCACGCUCAAGACUCG
Molecule: long non-coding RNA, 767 nt
Organism: Stegodyphus dumicola
Lineage: Eukaryota; Metazoa; Arthropoda; Arachnida; Araneae; Eresidae
Source: RefSeq, a predicted model, not a curated record